Delphinapterus leucas (beluga whale) is the source of this 1145-nucleotide non-coding RNA. Lineage: Eukaryota; Metazoa; Chordata; Mammalia; Artiodactyla; Monodontidae. The record is from RefSeq and is a predicted model, not a curated record.
CAUAUUCCAAGAAUUGCUAUCGACUGGAAGAAUCAAAUGUUCCCCGUUUAGCAAUGUCAUUCCUAAGCAGUGCUCUCAUUUAGGGUGAAACAGUUCAUGGACAGACGCUCAGGAGAAGACAAUGCCACUUUCAGAAGGGCACACAUCACCGAUGUCAGCGAGACGCACUCGACACAGGGAGACAAGGGUGCCGGCAGACCACUGCGCAGGGAUGCUGCAAACAACAGUCUUUACAAGAAUUCAUAAUUUGUUCCUACUUUUAGAGGCGCAUUCAGCAUUUUGAAUGGUGGUGUUACCAUCACCACAUUCGUGAAAGAGAAGAGUCAGUGAAGCCACUAAAGGUUCACAGUGACCCCGAAAGAGGCAGACGUUGCAGAACUUCAAGAGUUAAAGACCAGGCCAAGUGUAAAGAUACAUCAGACGGCCUCCUGAGAGGUGUGGAGGGAAGGCGCUCUUUCCCAGCAGAUCACUUUGUUUACUACUUACAUAUAAUUGUUGACAGCUCAUCACGAAUCGAUCUGACUUAAAUACUUCCCGGAACAAGUCUAUCUUGCUGGACCCGAGAGAAAUGUGUGUGACAGUGCAAAUGAGAUGUUCACCCAUGACCACACCAGUAGGCAAUGCAGCUGGGGUGCUGACAUAAUGGAGAAAGUCCCUGCUCUGAAUGUCUCCAACCAUAUGAAGUUUAAAAAGCAUGCAGCUGGGGGUCGAUGUUGGGUGAACACCCAGGAUUACGGGACAGACGUGAACCUCCGCCUGGCUGGACGCUUACAGGUUUCCCUUCAUCCCCUGAAGAACUGCUAAAACCAGCAAUUAGGAACCGUAAGCACCAGUACUUUGCCUUGAGGGAAAUUUGGACUUCAAGGUAAAGUAUCUAAGAGAUUUGAAAUCUGUCGUUAAACACAGCCUUGGUCUUAAAUGUUCAUAAUCCUUUCCCUGCCCUUGACUUUCUGCAAUAACUUCUUUCUGAAUUUCUCUGUCUCUGUUUACCAGUUUACUUUCUUAGGGAAUAACCUCCAUAAGCUACCAAAUGAUGAACUGUUUUUCAUUCAUGUGUUGUUUUUCCAGCCCCCUUAAUUGGAAUAAAUGAACAUAUGACUUGACUUUUAACCUACUUUUCCUUGUGCUUAUAAUAAAAGAGUAUA